GAUUUUCCAUUUUAUUUCCAUUUUAAAAAUCAUUUAAAAAUACCUUUUAUGCAUUUUUAUUUUAUUUAGUUGCAUUUUAAAUUUGUUUGACCUUGUGGACUUAUGUUGACCUUGGAUCAUGAUGAUUUUGACUUCAAGUCUCAUCAAACUCAAUGGAUCUUGGGUGUUGAUGGGGUGAAAACCUUAAUCCACCAAAAUGGAUGAUUGAUUUUGAUGAUGACUUGAUCAAAUUUGUGAUUCAAUUUGGAUUUG
RNAcentral lists this long non-coding RNA (252 nucleotides) under Lathyrus oleraceus (garden pea). Its description in RNAcentral is "Pisum sativum (pea) long non-coding RNA (PSAT_LNC025423)". Lineage: Eukaryota; Viridiplantae; Streptophyta; Magnoliopsida; Fabales; Fabaceae. The record is from RNAcentral.